This 111-nucleotide ribosomal RNA is filed under the name Alkaliphilus oremlandii OhILAs. Lineage: Bacteria; Bacillati; Bacillota; Clostridia; Peptostreptococcales; Natronincolaceae. The record is from RNAcentral.
UAACAUAGUUAUGCUCUUUCUUUUUUUAUAUUUGCUUCAUAUAAUUUAUAUUAAGAAAGAUUGUUUUUUAUUAGGAUAAGAUUUGUUGACAAUAUAGAAUAACUAUGUUAA